Molecule: long non-coding RNA, 656 nt
Organism: Silurus meridionalis
Lineage: Eukaryota; Metazoa; Chordata; Actinopteri; Siluriformes; Siluridae
Exons: 6
Source: RefSeq, a predicted model, not a curated record
AUUAAAAAGAAGCAAUACAGCUGCAUCGGCUAAAGCAAGAGAGUUGGCUUGGCAAAAAAAUAACGGACAGAGUAAAUGCGUGUAAUCCUUCUGGAGCCACAAGAACUUUAUGCCAAGUCAAAAUGAAACACAAAACAUUCUGCAAAAAGCUAAUAGAAAGAAGACUAAAGCCCGUCUAACUGGCGGGGGCCCACCACCACCUCCCCUCACUCCAUCUGAGGAGUUGGCUCUGUCCCUUAAUAAAGGGUGACCAGUGGUUGCUGGCAUUCCAGGGGGCAGUUCAUCGCACACACCAUGCACCACAAGUGAUGGUGAAAAAAUGGUGAAAUAUACUGAUGGACGUAUUGUAUUAUUGAACCCUCCAGAAAGAACACAGUCUGUCACAGUUGAUGAAGAUGAUGAUGAAGAGACCACAUCUGCUGUGACAGAAGUGGACAAUUACAUACCCAGGGAUUUGCCCACAGAUGAGGGUCCUUCAACCUCAGCACACAAUCUAAGCAGGGUAAGAAUUUGUGUCCAGGUGUCCAUAUUUUAAUUGAUUUGUAUAAGAGUGACCUUAUACAGCUUCAAAUGGAAGAGAAAAGGCUCCUCAUUAAAAAAGCAGCACUUGAAAUUGAAUUACUGGAGCAUCGCCUUAAGGUGAGAACUUGUCUGAA